UCACUACUUGCGUAGGCAGUUUCAUUAGAGUUCCCAGCUUUACCUGAUGGCAACUAAUGAUAGGGGUUGCGCUCGUUAUGGGACUUAACCCGACACCUCACGGCACGAGCUGACGACAACCAUGCAGCACCUCGUAGGCCGCCCUGACGGGAAUUCCGGUUUCCCGGAACGUCGUCCUACGUUCUAGCCCAGGUAAGGUUCCUCGCGUAUCAUCGAAUUAAACCACAUGCUCCUCCGCUUGUGCGGGCCCCCGUCAAUUCCUUUGAGUUUCAAUCUUGCGACCGUACUCCCCAGGUGGAUCACUUAAUACUUUCGCUUAGUCGCUGACUGUGUAUCGCCAACAACGAGUGAUCAUAGUUUACAGCGUGGACUAC
RNAcentral lists this unclassified non-coding RNA (374 nucleotides) under uncultured Lentimicrobiaceae bacterium. RNAcentral's name for it is "contains 16S-23S intergenic spacer region". Lineage: Bacteria; Pseudomonadati; Bacteroidota; Bacteroidia; Bacteroidales; Lentimicrobiaceae. The record is from RNAcentral.